Long non-coding RNA from Astyanax mexicanus (Mexican tetra), 1114 nucleotides. RefSeq lists it as uncharacterized. The record is from RefSeq and is a predicted model, not a curated record. The transcript is spliced from 4 exons. Lineage: Eukaryota; Metazoa; Chordata; Actinopteri; Characiformes; Acestrorhamphidae.
ACUUCAAAUAAAUGUAGAAUAAAUAAAAAACAUGAAAUUAAAAAAAAAAAGUAAGUUAACUACGGGCUAAUUUCAUUAAACUCGAUUUUUCCUGCUAAAUAUACUGAUAAUCGGUUCGGUACAUGGUACUUUUUUCCUCAUAAAUUAAGAUAAAAAGUGUAAAAUAGUGAAACACUGAGCUGGUGUAUACAGUGGACCAAACUUGGACGAUCCACCAUUUGUUUUCACCAUUUUAAGGAUAUGCUGAGAUGCACUAAUCCACAAGCUAUAUACUUAUUGUAUUGCUUACUAUAUAGUAAUAUAUUGCACAUAUUAAAAUGGCUUUAGGAUGUUGAUUAUGUAUUUUUUCCAUCUUGCUCCAUCUAUGGGCCACAUCCUGUGGGGACUGACCUGACCACUGCAAGGUGAUACAAUGUGGAGCUAAUAAUUAAUAUUACUAUAUGCACUAAUAUAUUUUUGCAGUAAAAGCAUGAACUCUGAAGCUACAUGACGUUUGGAGGUGUGUAGUGAUGAACUCUGAAGCUACAUGAAGUUUGGAGGUGUGUAGUGAUGAACUCUGAAGCUACAUGAAGUUUGGAGGUGUGUAGUGAUGAACUCUGAAGCUACAUGAAGUUUGGAGGUGUGUAGUGAUGAACUCUGAAGCUACAUGAAGUUUGGAGGUGUGUAGUGAUGAACUCUGAAGCUACAUGAAGUUUGGAGGUGUGUAGUGAUGAACUCUGAAGCUACAUGAAGUUUAGAGGUGUGUAGUGAUGAACUGAAGCUACAUGAAGUUUGGAGGUGUGUAGUGAUGAACUCUGAAGCUACAUGAAGUUAGGAGGUGUGUAGUGAUGAACUCUGAAGCUACAUGAAGUUUGGAGGUGUGUAGUGAUGAACUCUGAAGCUACAUGAAGUUAGGAGGUGUGUAGUGAUGAACUCUGAAGCUACAUGAAGUUUGGAGGUGUGUAGUGAUGAACUCUGAAGCUACAUGAAGUUUGGAGGUGUGUAGUGAUGAACUCUGAAGCUACAUGAAGUUAGGAGGUGUGUAGUGAUGAACUCUGAAAUUACAUGAAGUUUGGAGGUGAGUAGUGAUGAACUCUGAAGCUACAUGAAGUUUGGAGGUGUGUAGUGAGUGAUG